Small nuclear RNA from Ochotona princeps (American pika), 104 nucleotides. The record is from Ensembl. NCBI's taxonomy places the organism in Eukaryota, Metazoa, Chordata, Mammalia, Lagomorpha, Ochotonidae.
GUACUAGCUUUAGCAGCACAUAUAUUAAAAUUGAAACAAUACAGAGAUUAGCAUAGUCCCUAUGCGAGGAUGGCACGCAAACUCACAAAGCGUUCCAUAUUUUU